CGCAAAGGUGCCAUUGAGUGCAGCGUUGAUGAACCGUCCUACUCCUCCGAGGCCGGAGCGGUUCACCGGCGCUGCACACAAUGACGGCUCUGC
Molecule: microRNA precursor, 93 nt
Filed under: Triticum aestivum (bread wheat)
Lineage: Eukaryota; Viridiplantae; Streptophyta; Magnoliopsida; Poales; Poaceae
Description: miR397 stem-loop (tae-MIR397)
Gene: tae-MIR397
Source: miRBase by way of RNAcentral